This is a long non-coding RNA of Lolium perenne, 222 nucleotides long. RefSeq lists it as uncharacterized. NCBI's taxonomy places the organism in Eukaryota, Viridiplantae, Streptophyta, Magnoliopsida, Poales, Poaceae. The record is from RefSeq and is a predicted model, not a curated record.
AGGUGCUGGAGCAGGUGAGCGGACCAGACAACGGUGUUUUCCAAGGCGAGGUACACCGUUAGUUCUUUUGGUAUCCGGCGGUAAUGAGAAGGUUGCAUGCUACAUGAUGGUGAGGGGAGAGCUAACAGUAACUCUCAGAAGCACAUAUUUUACAGAAGUUCCAGGCUGAAAGAAGUUUGAAUAGGCGUGAUUCCCUACUCAACCAAAAUUUUAGUUAUUAUA